This 3129-nucleotide long non-coding RNA is filed under the name Salmo salar (Atlantic salmon). Its description in RNAcentral is "lncRNA (ENSSSAG00000097964.1)". Lineage: Eukaryota; Metazoa; Chordata; Actinopteri; Salmoniformes; Salmonidae. The record is from RNAcentral.
AAUAUGACAUAGUGGUUAAACAGCUAAACGCCUGAUGCGAGGGGCAGACGUAUACACUAAGUAACUAUAGGCAGACGUACACACUAAAUAAAUAUAGGCAGACGUAUACACUAAGUAACUUUAGGCAGACGUACACACUAAGUAACUAUAGGCAGACGUACACACUAAGUAACUUUAGGCAGACGUACACACUAAGUAACUAUAGGCAGACGUACACACUCUAAGUAACUAUAGGCAGACGUACACACUAAGUAACUAUAGGCAGACGUACACACUCGAAGUAACUAUAGCCAGACGUAUACACACUAAGUAACUAUAGGCAGACGUAUACACACUAAGUAACUAUAGGCAGACGUAUACACUCUAAGUAACUAUAGGCAGACGUAUACACACUAAGUAACUACAUGCAGACGUAUACACUCUAAGUAACUAUAGGCAGACGUACACACUCUAAGUAACUAUAGGCAGACGUACACACUCUAAGUAACUAUAGGUAGACGUACACACUAAGUAACUAUAGGCAGACGUACACACUCAAAGUAACUAUAGGCAGACGUAUACACACUAAGUAACUAUAGGCAGACGUACACACUAAGUAACUUUAGGCAGCCGUACACACUAAGUAACUAUAGGCAGACGUAUACACACUAAGUAACUAUAGGCAGACGUACACACUAAGUAACUUUAGGCAGACGUAUACACACUAAGUAACUAUAGGCAGACGUACACACUAAGUAACUAUAGGCAGACGUAUACACACUAAGUAACUAUAGGCAGACGUACACACUAAGUAACUAUAGGCAGACGUACACACUCGAAGUAACUAUAGGCAGACGUAUACACUCUAAGUAACUAUAGGCAGACGUACACACUAAGUAACUAUAGGCAGACGUAUACACACUAAGUAACUAUAGGCAGACGUACACACUAAGUAACUAUAGGCAGACGUAUACACACUAAGUAACUAUAGGCAGACGUACACACUAAGUAACUUUAGGCAGACGUACACACUAAGUAACUAUAGGCAGACGUACACACUAAGUAACUAUAGGCAGACGUAUACACACUAAGUAACUAUAGGCAGACGUACACACUAAGUAACUAUAGGCAGACGUAUACACUCUAAGUAACUAUAGGCAGACGUACACACUAAGUAACUAUAGGCAGACGUACACACUCGAAGUAACUAUAGGCAGACGUAUACACUCUAAGUAACUAUAGGCAGACGUACACACUAAGUAACUAUAGGCAGACAUAUACACUCUAAGUAACUAUAGGCAGACGUACACACUAAGUAGCUAUAGGCAGACGUACACACUCUAAGUAACUAUAGGCAGACGUAUACACACUAAGUAACUAUAGGCAGACGUACACACUAAGUAAAGAUAGGCAGACGUACACACUAAGUAACUAUAGGCAGACGUAUACACACUAAGUAACUAUAGGUAGACGUACACACUAAAUAACUAUAGGCAGACGUAUACACACUAAGUAACUAUAGGCAGACGUGUACACACUAAGUAACUAUAGGCAGACGUACACACUAAGUAACUUUAGGCAGACGUACACACUAAGUAACUAUAGGAAGACGUACACACUAAGUAACUAUAGGCAGACGUACACACUAAGUAACUUUUGGCAGACGUAUACACACUAAGUAACUAUAGGCAGACGUACACACUAAGUAACUAUAGGCAGACGUAUACACACUAAGUAACUAUAGGCAGACGUACACACUAAGUAACUUUAGGCAGACGUAUACACACUAAGUAACUUUAGGCAGACGUACACACUAAGUAACUAUAGGCAGACGUAUACACACUAAGUAACUAUAAUCAGACGUAUACACUCUAAGUAACUAUAGGCAGACGUGCACACUAAGUAACUAUAGGCAGACGUAUACACACUAAGUAGCUAUAGGUAGACGUACACACUAAGUAACUAUAGGCAGACGUAUACACACUAAGUAACUAUAGGCAGACGUACACACUAAGUAACUAUAGGCAGACGUAUACACUAAGUAACUUUAGGCAGACGUACACACUAAGUAACUAUAGGCAGACGUACACACUAAGUAACUAUAGGCAGACGUACACACUCAAAGUAACUAUAGGCAGACGUAUACACUCUAAGUAACUAUAGGCAGAAGUAUACACACUAAGUAACUAUAGGCAGACGUACACACUAAGUAACUAUAGGCAGACGUAUACACACUAAGUAACUAUAGGCAGACGUACACACUAAGUAACUAUAGGCAGACGUAUACACACUAAGUAACUAUAGGCAGACGUACACACUAAGUAACUAUAGGCAGACGUACACACUCGAAGUAACUAUAGGCAGACGUAUACACACUAAGUAACUAUAGGCAGACGUACACACUAAGUAACUAUAGGCAGACGUAUACACACUAAGUAACUAUAGGCAGACGUACACACUAAGUAACUAUAGGCAGACGUAUACACACUAAGUAACUAUAGGCAGACGUACACACUAAGUAACUUUAGGCAGACGUACACACUAAGUAACUAUAGGCAGACGUACACACUAAGUAACUAUAGGCAGACGUAUACACACUAAGUAACUAUAGGCAGACGUACACACUAAGUAACUAUAGGCAGACGUAUACACACUAAGUAACUAUAGGCAGACGUACACACUAAGUAACUAUAGGCAGACGUACACACUCUAAGUAACUAUAGGCAGACGUAUACACUCUAAGUAACUAUAGGCAGACGUACACACUAAGUAACUAUAGGCAGACAUAUACACUCUAAGUAACUAUAGGCAGACGUACACACUAAGUAGCUAUAGGCAGACGUACACACUCUAAGUAACUAUAGGCAGACGUAUACACACUAAGUAACUAUAGGCAGACGUACACACUAAGUAAAGAUAGGCAGACGUACACACUAAGUAACUAUAGGCAGACGUAUACACACUAAGUAACUAUAGGCAGACGUACACACUAAGUAACUAUAGGCAGACGUAUACACACUAAGUAACUAUAGGCAGACAUACACACUAAGUAACUAUAGGCAGACGUAUACACACUAAGUAACUAUAGGCAGACGUAUACACACUAAGUAACUAUAGGCAGACGUAUACACACUAAGUAACUAUAGGCAG